GACGAACGCUGGCGGCGUGCUUAACACAUGCAAGUCGAACGGUGAAGGGACCGGUUUUUGCUGGUUCUGGAUGAGUGGCGCACGGGUGAGUAACACGUGAGUAACCUGCCCCCUUCUUCUGGAUAACCGCAUGAAAGUGUGGCUAAUACGGGAUAUUCUGCGCCUGCUGCAUGGUGGGUGUGGGAAAGAUAUUGUUUCGGUGGGGGAUGGGCUCGCGGCCUAUCAGCUUGUUGGUGGGGUGAUGGCCUACCAAGGCGGUGACGGGUAGCCGGCCUGGGAGGGUGGACGGGCACACUGGGACUGAGACACGGCCCAGACUCCUACGGGAGGCAGCAGUGGGGAAUAUUGCACAAUGGGCGCAAGCCUGAUGCAGCGACGCCGCGUGAGGGAUGGAGGCCUUCGGGUUGUAAACCUCUUUCGCCAGUGAAGCAGGCCUGUCCCUUGUGUGGGUGGGUUGACGGUAGCUGGAGAAGAAGCGCCUGCUAACUACGUG
This 493-nucleotide ribosomal RNA is filed under the name uncultured bacterium. RNAcentral's name for it is "partial 16S ribosomal RNA". It matches the Rfam family "Bacterial small subunit ribosomal RNA", at positions 28 to 507 of the family's 1533-position model. The record is from RNAcentral.